This 253-nucleotide ribosomal RNA is filed under the name uncultured microorganism. Its description in RNAcentral is "partial 16S ribosomal RNA". It matches the Rfam family "Bacterial small subunit ribosomal RNA", at positions 524 to 776 of the family's 1533-position model. The record is from RNAcentral.
UACAGAGGCGGCGAGCGUUGUUCGGAUUUACUGGGCGUAAAGGGUGCGUAGGCGGUUUCGCAUGUCGGAUGUGAAAUCUCACCGCUCAACGGUGAAAUGGCAUCUGAAACUGCGGAGCUAGAGUGCAGGAGAGGAGAGCGGAAUUCCUGGUGUAGCGGUGAAAUGCGUAGAUAUCAGGAGGAACACCGGUGGCGAAAGCGGCUCUCUGGACUGUCACUGACACUGAGGCUCGAAAGCGUGGGUAGCAAACAGG